ACUCAAAGGAAUUGACGGGGAGGCGCACAAGCAGUGGAGCGUGUGGUUUAAUUCGAGACAAAGCGAAAAACCUCACCAGGGUUUGACAUGCAAUUGCUAAUCCCGUGAAAGCGGGACUCCUUCGAGGGUAUUGCACAGAUGCUGCAUGGCUGUCAUCAGUUCGUGGCGUGAGCUGUUUCCUUUAGUGGAUAAACGAACGCAACCCGCAUCGUAUGUUAAAUUAUUCAUACGAAACUGCCCCAUUUUUUGGGGAGGAAGGCGCGGAUGAUGUCAAGUCAGCACGGCUCUUACACCCUGGGCUACACACACCCUACAAUGGCGAAAAACAACGAGCUGCAAACCGGUAACGGCAAGCUAAUCUCUCAAAUUUCGCCUCAGUUCAGAUCGAGGUCUGCAAUUCGACCUCGUGAAGUCGGAAUUGCUAGUAAUCGCGAAUCAGCAGGUCGCGGUGAAUACGUUCUCGCCUCUUGUACACACCGCCCGU
Molecule: ribosomal RNA, 484 nt
Filed under: uncultured bacterium
Lineage: Bacteria
Description: partial 16S ribosomal RNA
Rfam family: Bacterial small subunit ribosomal RNA
Source: RNAcentral